GACGUAGGGUGCAAGCGUUGUCCGGAAUUAUUGGGCGUAAAGAGCUCGUAGGCGGUUUGUUGCGUCUGCUGUGAAAAUCCAGGGCUUAACCCUGGACCUGCAGUGGGUACGGGCAGACUAGAGUGCGGUAGGGGAGAUCGGAAUUCCUGGUGUAGCGGUGAAAUGCGUAGAGAUCAUGAGGAAGACCAGUGGCGAAGGCGGGUCUCUGGACAGUUCCUGACACUGAGACACGAAGGCCAGGGGAGCAAACGGG
Molecule: ribosomal RNA, 253 nt
Filed under: uncultured bacterium
Lineage: Bacteria
Description: partial 16S ribosomal RNA
Rfam family: Bacterial small subunit ribosomal RNA
Source: RNAcentral